GCUAAACAGCUAGCUUAAUCAUUUAAUUAACUAUUACAAUAUUAAAAAUAUUAACAAAACCACAAUACCACAAACCAAAACAUUUUACCGCCCCAGUAUGUGUGACAGAAAAGGCACAACUUAAAGCCAUAGAAAUAGUACCGCAAGGGAACGCUGAAAGAGAAAUGAAAUAAAUCAUUAAAGCGCAAUAAAGCAGAGACUAAUCCUCGUACCUUUUGCAUCAUGAUUUAGCCAGCCCCCCCGAGCAAAACGCAUUUUAGUUCGAAGCCCCGAAACUAAGUGAGCUACCCCGAGACAGCCUAUUAAUUAGGGCCAACCCGUCUCUGUGGCAAAAGAGUGGGAAGAUCUCCGGGUAGGGGUGACAGACCUACCGAACUUAGUUAUAGCUGGUUGCAUAAGAAAUGAAUAGAAGUUCAGCCCCGCACUCCUUAACUCAAAACUUAUCUACGAGCCAAAGAAAUACGCGGAAGUUAUUUAUAGGGGGUACAGCCCCUAUAAAACAGGAUACAACCUCACCAGGAGGUUAAAGAUUAUAUUAAACAAGAUAAACUGCUUUAGUGGGCCUAAAAGCAGCCACCUAAAUAGAAAGCGUUAAAGCUCCGGCAGAGCCAAAAUUCAUUAUCCAAAUACUAAAUCUAAAACCCCUAACAUUAUUAGGCCACUCCAUGCUUCCAUGGAAAAGAUACUGCUAAAAUGAGUAAUAAGAAGGGAACCCCCUUCUCCAAAGCCUACGUGUAUGCUAGAUCGAACCCCCACUAGCAAUUACCUGAACCCAAAUCAAGAGGGAAAUGUAAUUAUAUUAAAUAUCAAGAAAUACUUACACGCACUAAUCAUUAAACCCACACCGGAAGGCUAUCAAGGAAAGACUAAAAGAAAAGGAAGGAACUCGGCAAACAUAAGCCUCGCCUGUUUACCAAAAACAUCGCCUCCUGCAAAAUUCAACGUAUAGGAGGUCUUGCCUGCCCAGUGACAAGUUAAACGGCCGCGGUAUUUUGACCGUGCGAAGGUAGCGCAAUCACUUGUCUUUUAAAUGAAGACCUGUAUGAAUGGUGGAACGAGGGCUUAACUGUCUCCCUUUUCAAGUCAAUGAAAUUGAUCUACCCGUGCAGAAGCGGGCAUAAAAAUACAAGACGAGAAGACCCUUUGGAGCUUAAGACAAAAGACCACCUAUGUAAAGAACAUAAAACAAGUUAAACAAAAUAGUGGCUGAUCCUAGUCUUCGGUUGGGGCGACCACGGGAGAAAACAGAGCUCCCACGAGGACCGGGGCACCCCCCCAAACCAAGAGAAACAUCUCUAAGUAUCAGAACCUCUGACCAUUAAGACCCGGCAACCUGCCGAUCAACGAACCAAGUUACCCUAGGGAUAACAGCGCAAUCCCCUUUCAGAGUCCAUAUCGACAAGGGGGUUUACGACCUCGAUGUUGGAUCAGGACAUCCUAAUGGUGCAGCCGCUAUUAAGGGUUCGUUUGUUCAACGAUUAAAGUCCUACGUGAUCUGAGUUCAGACCGGAGCAAUCCAGGUCAGUUUCUAUCUAUAACGCCACUAUUCCUAGUACGAAAGGACCGGAAAAAGGGGGCCCCUGCUACCAGCACGCCCCACCCCAACUUAAUGAAACCAACUAAAUUAAGUAAAGGGAGGGCAUAACCCAAAAAUCUAGAUAAGAUU
RNAcentral lists this ribosomal RNA (1666 nucleotides) under Liobagrus obesus. RNAcentral's name for it is "large subunit ribosomal RNA". It matches the Rfam family "Bacterial large subunit ribosomal RNA". Lineage: Eukaryota; Metazoa; Chordata; Actinopteri; Siluriformes; Amblycipitidae. The record is from RNAcentral.